GAGGUUGUUGCUCAGUGGUAGAGUGCUCGCCUACCAUGCGCAGGACCCUGGGUUCAAUCCUCAGCACCACA
This 71-nucleotide transfer RNA is filed under the name Marmota monax (woodchuck). Its description in RNAcentral is "tRNA.Gly". The record is from RNAcentral. Lineage: Eukaryota; Metazoa; Chordata; Mammalia; Rodentia; Sciuridae.